Saccostrea cuccullata (small rock oyster) is the source of this 560-nucleotide long non-coding RNA. RefSeq lists it as uncharacterized. The record is from RefSeq and is a predicted model, not a curated record. The transcript has 4 exons. NCBI's taxonomy places the organism in Eukaryota, Metazoa, Mollusca, Bivalvia, Ostreida, Ostreidae.
CCAGUUUUCGAAGGGAGUAGUCGUUCUUUGCAAAGUAAAUUUCCAAAAAAUCGUUAAAAAUUAAAGGAAUUAAUUUAAAUUGCUUUUAUUGAUAAUAUAACUUUUACUUUGAAUUAAAAUAAAUUUUAACAGCAUUUAACAAAUUUAAUUAUAAACUGCGAGAAAAUAGUCCGAAUCUAACGAAGUACAACUUGUGGAUAAUGGAUGUUGACAUGAUGAUGCAAGCUCGCUAGUGUUUAAAACCAAUAUUUAGCUUGAUUUAGCCACUGCAGUAUAAAGAAAGAAGCAGACCAGAAACCUUUGGCUAAAGCAAAGAUGAUAUGCAUACCAAAAGCAGUUACAUAAUUUACAAGAGUCUGAAGUUAUGAUGACCAUGCAGAGUCAAGAUAUUGUAACAAAGACAUGCCUGCAUGAAGAAGAAUGUUCACUCAAUUUUUCAGAAUAAUGUGUCAGAUUGAAAUUCAUCUUAUGUUGGACAAAACAAUCAGGACAUUCUUCUGGAUCACAGCUAGCACAAAGUAUUGACAAAACCAAAGAUUUAUCAUUACCUGGUAGUCUGC